GGGAUUGCCCUAGUAACGGCGAGUGAAGCGGCAACAGCUCAAAUUUGAAAUCUGGCGUAAGCCCGAGUUGUAAUUUGUAGAGGAUGCUUCUGGGUAGCGGCCGGUCUAAGUUCCUUGGAACAGGACGUCAUAGAGGGUGAGAAUCCCGUAUGUGACUGGCUUGCACCCUCCACGUAGCUCCUUCGACGAGUCGAGUUGUUUGGGAAUGCAGCUCUAAAUGGGAGGUAAAUUUCUUCUAAAGCUAAAUACCGGCCAGAGACCGAUAGCGCACAAGUAGAGUGAUCGAAAGAUGAAAAGCACUUUGGAAAGAGAGUUAAAAAGCACGUGAAAUUGUUGAAAGGGAAGCGCCCGCAACCAGACUUUGCGGCGGUGUUCGGCUGGUCUUCUGACCGGUUUACUCGCCGCCGUGAGGCCAUCAUCGUCUGGGACCGCUGGAUAAGACCUGAGGAAUGUAGCUCCCUUCGGGGUGUGUUAUAGCCUCUGGUGAUGCAGCGCGUCUCGGGCGAGGUCCGCGCUUCGGCAAGGAUGAUGGCGUAAUGGUUGUCGGCGGCCCGUCUUGAAACACGGACCAAGGAGUCUAACAUCUAUGCGAGUGUUCGGGUGUCAAACCCCUACGCGUAAUGAAAGUGAACGGAGGUGGGAACUUUUUGUGCACCAUCGACCGAUCCUGAUGUCCUCGGAUGGAUUUGAGUAAGAGCAUAGCUGUUGGGACCCGAAAGAUGGUGAACUAUGCCUGAAUAGGGUGAAGCCAGAGGAAACUCUGGUGGAGGCUCGCAGCGGUUCUGACGUGCAAAUCGAUCGUCAAAUUUGGGUAUAGGGGCG
This 822-nucleotide ribosomal RNA is filed under the name Pseudocercospora schizolobii. RNAcentral's name for it is "eukaryotic LSU rRNA". It matches the Rfam family "Eukaryotic large subunit ribosomal RNA", at positions 71 to 925 of the family's 3401-position model. RNAcentral also lists the same sequence under 2 other names. Lineage: Eukaryota; Fungi; Ascomycota; Dothideomycetes; Mycosphaerellales; Mycosphaerellaceae. The record is from RNAcentral.